Long non-coding RNA from Phocoena sinus (vaquita), 5324 nucleotides. The record is from Ensembl. NCBI's taxonomy places the organism in Eukaryota, Metazoa, Chordata, Mammalia, Artiodactyla, Phocoenidae.
GACUGCCGGAAGUGAUUGCGGGCUAAUCGGCGGCGUUUGCGGAGGCUGAAGAGUUUUGGGAGUCUGCACUAGUUGCUGCUUUUGGCGCGAAAAAUGCCGGGUCUGGCGGCCGCAAGCCCUGCCCCAUCUGAGUCGCAGGAGAAGAAGCCUCUGAAGCCCUGCUGCGCCUGCCCGGAGACCAAGAAGGCGCGCGAUGCGUGCAUCAUUGAGAAAGGAGAAGAGAACUGUGGACCCCUAAUUGAGGCCCACAAGGAAUGCAUGAAAGCCCUGGGAUUUAAGAUAUGAAAUGGUGAGCAUGCUACUCUCUUAUUGGGAAGGUAAUACAUAGGCUGAUUGCUUCAAAUUUGUGUAUUGCUUUACAGAUUUAGUGAUCAUUGGGCAGCAUUCUGUCUGAAAGGUAGUUCACCUGGUUAACCUAACAUGCCUAAGUAUCACUGGCAAGAUAACGUCUCAGUUUCUAGUGUACGGAAUAAAUGAUGCUAAUAAAUUGAGAGGGGUGGGACUUCCCCGGCUGUCUGGUGGUUAAGACUCCACGCUUCCACUGCAGGGGACCUGGGUUUGAUCUCUGGUUGAUAGGGAUCCUGCAUGAUGCAUGGUGCAGAUGAAAAAAAAAAAGUUAGAGGUGUUUGGUGGAUUUGGGAAGGGGAGAAUUAAGCUUUCAAGAAAGGGCUUGGCAAAAGCCUUUAGAGUUAUGUUGGAGACAGAGGAAUCACGGCUUAGGAAGUUCAAAAUAUUCAGUUGUCUGACUUAAAAGGGAAAUGUUCUCUAUUUUUUGUUUCUAAUCUUGUGAGUUUUUAGGACGUGUUUUUAAAUACGGAGUGGGCAGCACAUGGAAGCAUUGCUUUCUGCAAAACAGAAAUGGAAUUGUUGCAGUUUCUUUUGUACCAUGCUUUAUUCUAAUAAAACUAAAACCUCAGACCAUUGUCUGAAGAACUUUGAAUUCAAAUUUUAAUGCUGAAAGGGACCUUAAGUGAUGUGUAUACGAUACCACAAAUAAAUUAUCUCCUUUUGUUUGGAACCUCUUCCUUCAGAUAGCAACUUGACUUAUUCCCUCACUUCAGAUCUCUUUUCAGAUCUGUUUUCAAGCCUCCUAAUUGGAGAGGCUUUCCCUCAACAUUCCAUCUAAAAUAGCAUCCGUUCCCCAUCUAUCCCCACUCUAUCCUGGCACUGUCCAGUAGAACUUUCUGUGAUAAUGAAACGUUCUGUGCCUGCACUCUACAAUAUGGUAGCCACUAGCCAUAUGUGGCUGUGGAGCCCUUGAUAUGUGGCUAGUAAAGCUGAGGAACUGAAUUUUUUGUAUGUUUGUUUUUUUAUUUUAAUAGCCACAUAUGGCUAGUGGCUAGGCUACACCAUUGCCUGCAUAUUUUGUAUUUAUUUAUCAUCCGAAUUGCUUUACUUCAAUUAGAAUGUAAGUUCUGAGACAGAAAUUUUCUGUUUACUCACUGGCAUACCUCCAGGACCAGUAACAGUGCCUGGCACAUAGUAGGUGCUCAAUAGAGGAGUGUUAAAUCAAUAAAUGAGGAAACUAAGGCCUAUAGAUAUGAAGUGACUUCUUUUUUUUUUUGCGGUACGCGGGCCUCUCACUGUUGUGGCCUCUCCCGUUGCGGAGCACAGGCUCUGGACACGCAGGCUCAGCGGCCAUGGCUCACGGGCCCAGCCGCUCCGCGGCAUGUGGGACCUUCCCGGACCGGGGCACAAACCCGUGUCCCCUGCAUCGGCAGACAGACUCUCAACCACUGUGCCACCAGGGAAGCUCUGAAGUGACUUCUUAUAGGCAGGGUCAGAACUGGAACCUCUGUCUCCAGAGGCUCCCACUGCUUGGUGCUCUUACUCCCCUGUAAGAUCCACACCACACCACCACUUAUAACUUAAUAAUAGCUGAGAGAUAAUGCGAAAGCUACAUACCAAUGUAGGAGUAAUAGAGAGCCUGGCUUCUUUCCCUUUCACCUCUUUCCUGCCUCUUUGGAAUUUUACAUGUGGCCAGUCUUCCUCACUGAGCUGUGAAAAAGGAGGGAUAAGGAACCUGUCCCCAGCUGAUAAGAAGUAUCACUGUGUAGUGGAAAACAGUCUAGGCUGGAAGUCCUGAGGCUUAACUUUGCUUCUCCUGUUCUCUAGCUUAGCAUGUGUUUCACUUUAGCUACAUCUGUAUUCAUCAAGACAUUAAUCCUGUCUGGAUUUCACUUUUUUCAUUUAUAAAAAGAGAACCAUAAUAUAUUUUGUGAUUUUACACAUGGUAUGAUAUCUGUGUAUACAAGAUAUACUUAAGUGCCUUUAAGAUUAGAUGGUUAUUUAAAGAAAUCCCAUGGUGAAUCAUUUUGUAAAAUAAGUAAAUAUGGUUGUGGGGAGCUGUUCUUAAAAAGUUUUAACUAUUGAUUAUUUCAAAGACAUGAAAUCUCAACAUUUGUACAUGAUUUCCUUGUUCCUAAUCUAACUUUCUUCCUAGUCAGUUUUGUUAGCUGUUGCUUAGGGUUAAGCCUGCCUUGACAAAAAGGGUGAUUUUUAAAAAUGCUAAUUUUUAGGAGCAUCAGAAGUCUCUUGGACUUCAUGUGGACCUCACAGGUGAUACAAUUAUUGCUAUAACUAGCAUAUAUUCACGAGGACCAGAAGAUACCAUGGUUUUCUAUGUUAUUGGGACAGAGUAAGAGUGAUUCCUGUGUACUUCACUUGUGUAUAAAAGAAAAUGCAAGAGCUUUGGACUUAGAAGACCUGAUGUUUAACUGAUUGUACGAUCUUGGGCAAGUCCUUAACUUUCUGAACCUUAGUUUUCUCAUGUGUAAAGGAGAGAGAACAGUACAUGACCAAACUACUUCAUUAGAGUCAUUAUGAUGAUUAAAUGAUAUACGUGUGAAUAGGCCUUGUAAACUGUCAAAGAGAAACCAGAACAGAAGCCAUAUCUUGGGAGUCACGGAUAGCAGACAUUCUACUGAGGUCUGUUUAAUAUAUGUCCUGAUUAUUUUUGAAUCCUGGUUACAAAAAGAAGAAUCUGAAUCCACAUAGGGCCUUUCCAAGAAUUGAAAAUAAUCAUUUUUAAAUUUUCAGCAUAAUACUACUUUUGGAGGAAGAACAUAUGUUUGGAUCUACAUUGGUCCCAGGUGUCCUAUUUCCCUGGCCCCCAUGGGGAAAUGGAAGGACAGUGAAGUCAAAAAAAGACUUUCUCAAGUUAAGAGUGGAUAGGUGGUGGCAUUCAAACUAGAAUCUAGGUCUUUUUUACGCUCCAAAUCUCAAGCACUUUAUACUUCACUCCUUGCACUUAAUGAGAUUUUAUUCCAACAUAUUCAUUUUUAGGAUUACACAUAGUCUUGAACUUCAAUCCUAAAACUUUAUUUUGAAUGCUAAUUACAAAGACCUGUUGCUGAAAUGCAUACGUGUAUAUAACUCAGAAACCAGGUCAGUGACUGUAGGGUAAAAUCCAGUGCUACUGUCUGCACUGUUAUAAGGUAAACUUAACUAAAUUGGUAUCUCUUAGACUAUUAGACCACAUUUUUCCGAGGAUAGCUUCAAAGGAAAAAUAUUUUGCAAUCUUAGAUCUUCCCAGUAAUGAUCAUGAAACUUCCUUAAUUCAAAAACCUUUGUAGAUUUUAAUGUUAUUUUCUAAAUAAGAUAGAUCUUAAUUGUACCUUGAAUCCAGUAAAUUGGACUUAGUAUGAAAGCAAGUGUACCUUUAUAAUCACCCGAGGAAUGUUUUCCAAAAUUCACAAGCCUGAGCCCUGAACUGUACCGGUUGACUCAGAAGCUCCUAGAUAAUUUUCAAGUGUCCCCCUCUUUAAGAACCACUGGCUUAAGCUGAAGAUGUAGUAGGGAUGGUAUAAAUAAAUAUAAAUUGUCUAAAGAUUUAAUAGCAGCAAAGGCAGAGACUUGAAAACUACUCGUAAGGAAUAACAGGGUGUGAUGGUGGUGAUUCUAGUCACUUCUAUCUUUUGACUGCUUCUUUUACUGAAAGAGAAACUAGAGGAACCUAAAACCUGCUUAGAAAUGUAAAGAGGAAAUGGCAGCUGGUAUCUUUCUGCCUUUAGGAGCCAGGAGGAACCUAGAGAAUCCAGCUCGGGGGCUAAAAUCAUUGAAAGAAAUUAAAGGACCGGCACUGAGUGGUGGUGAUACUCCGUAUUUAUUAAGCUUAACAGAACUUAAUAGUUCACACACACAAAACGCACACAGAGACAACUGAUGAUGUAUGAAAAUAUGAUCUUGAGAGUCAAGAAAAAGGGUCAUUUCUGCUAUUUGAACAUUUAUUCAUUCAAUAGAUAUCUAUUGUUUAAAACUCUAGAAAAUGCCAAGAUGAGAAGACACAGGGUCUCUUCUGUCAAGGACUUUGUACCCAGAGGCUUUCAGUGGGUAGCCCCUCCUGAUGUAUAGUAGCCAGUAGCAAUGCUAUAUAGACUGCUAUCUCUUGAAAUGUUGAGUGGCUUCAUUUUUGCUUAUCUUUAAGUGUAUUCUUCCUUUGAGCCUUAGAAAAGAGAGAGUUUAUAUAUUUAUAUUGUUGUUAAGGUUUAUCUUCUUUUCUAAACCAAAUGCAGGGAAUAGCUAGGUGAGGGAAGCCCUUGAAUUAGACUUGAAGAGUUGGCUAGCCCAAAUUACUCAGUUACCUUUAUAGCAUUGUUCCUGUCUUCUGGGAUGGGGGAUGGGGGUGGGGGUGGCAUGGCUGCCAGCUGUCUGGAGAGAAGCCUGGUACACCAGCAGCCCCAUCCUCUGCUGCUCUCCCUUUUUGAUCUUUCCAAAUUCAUUUCAGAAAUGUUACCCUUACUUUGCCCUUGGGAUUGAGUAACUUUCCACAGGAGAUGCCUGUGUACAGAGCUGACCUUCUGCCUUCCACUUCAUGGAUCUUUGGCAAACACUUGAGUCAGAACGGAGGAGGCUACAGGUCUCUUCUCUUUAGUAUCUGCAAAAGUAAACUCCCUUAGUCUUUGGUGGAAGAUGUUUUUGAGAAAAUAAAUAAAUGUAUAGUUUUUACUUCAACAAAGACUUUAAAGGUUAAACCUUGUAAUGGAUUGAACAGUUUCUGUGAUGUUUUUAUUUAAACAGAACUAGAAUUUUAAAAUGUGGAUCUUUUGUUUCAUGACUGGUUUAGAAUAAUUAUGGCAGUUAGUUAAUAGUCCUCAGCUGAGGCAUUCAUUUCUAGCAUCUUUAAUUCCCUGACUCCAUAGGUCUGACAUGAUGCUUGAAACCUGUCUUUCUAAAAUACAUCUUUUUCUGCAGGUGGUCUGCUCUGGGAAUUAAUAAUUCCUGAAAAAUGAAGAAGACUUAAUAACUUUGGGAGCUCUUUGAUGAACAUUGAUAAAUUUAAAAGUAUUUAUAACUUAUUAAAAAAAAAGAGAAUAUCCCUGGUC